Long non-coding RNA from Gallus gallus (chicken), 367 nucleotides. NCBI's taxonomy places the organism in Eukaryota, Metazoa, Chordata, Aves, Galliformes, Phasianidae. The record is from Ensembl.
GGGGUUUUCAAUGGUUUCUUAAGUUCUGAGUUGAAGUAAAAGCAAUUUUUCAAAACCUGCCAGAAACUGACAUCUGGGAGGAGUCUGGGAUGAGACCAUCAUUACAAUACUCAGUGAAACUGCUGUUCCUGAGAAGAAAGUGUCCUCACUUGCAUUUUGACGUCAAUCAUAUAUCCCCAUCUUAAAGGCAAGGUGUUCGCAGUGUUAUGAGCUGUUGCAAGAGGAACACACCUUUGCACAACUUUGCUUUCAUCCUGUCUCUGCUAGAUGAUUGUAUCCCUGUGGAAGAAAGAGCUAACAGCCACACUGCUACCUUGUGUAAGGUUUCCUUACUAUAGAUGAAGCGAGUGGGAGGAUAGCAAACUCC